This 331-nucleotide ribosomal RNA is filed under the name uncultured bacterium. Its description in RNAcentral is "bacterial SSU rRNA". It matches the Rfam family "Bacterial small subunit ribosomal RNA", at positions 56 to 389 of the family's 1533-position model. The record is from RNAcentral.
UGCAAGCCGAGCGGUAUUUGUUCUUCGGAACAGAGAGAGCGGCGUACGGGUGCGUAACACGUGUGCAACCUGCCUUUAUCUGGGGGAUAGCCUUUCGAAAGGAAGAUUAAUACCCCAUAAUAUAUUUUACGGCAUCGUAAGAUAUUGAAAACUCCGGUGGAUAGAGAUGGGCACGCGCAAGAUUAGAUAGUUGGUGAGGUAACGGCUCACCAAGUCAAUGAUCUUUAGGGGGCCUGAGAGGGUGAUCCCCCACACUGGUACUGAGACACGGACCAGACUCCUACGGGAGGCAGCAGUGAGGAAUAUUGGACAAUGGGUGAGAGCCUGAUCC